GUAUGUAGCUCAGUAGGUAGAGUGAUUGCCUUCCAUGCAUAAGGCCUUGGAUUCAAUCCCCAGCACCACC
Molecule: transfer RNA, 70 nt
Filed under: Marmota monax (woodchuck)
Lineage: Eukaryota; Metazoa; Chordata; Mammalia; Rodentia; Sciuridae
Description: tRNA.Gly
Rfam family: tRNA (bases 4-65)
About the family: Transfer RNA (tRNA) molecules are approximately 80 nucleotides in length. Their secondary structure includes four short double-helical elements and three loops (D, anti-codon, and T loops).
Source: RNAcentral